CUACAAACCGGACAAACGUUAUUCGGAAUCAUUGGGCUUAAAGGGUGCGUAGGCGGCUUAGGAGGUGGGGUGUGAAAUCCCUUGGCUCAACCGAGGAACUGCGCCCCAAACCACUAGGCUAGAGGGAGACAGAGGUAAGCGGAACUGAUGGUGGAGCGGUGAAAUGCGUUGAUAUCAUCAGGAACACCAGUGGCGAAAGCGGCUUACUGGGUCUCUUCUGACGCUGAGGCACGAAAGCUAGGGUAGCGAACGGGAUUAGAAACCCCAGUAGUCC
Molecule: ribosomal RNA, 274 nt
Filed under: uncultured bacterium
Lineage: Bacteria
Description: partial 16S ribosomal RNA
Rfam family: Bacterial small subunit ribosomal RNA
Source: RNAcentral